GUUGCCAGUGUGAUCCCUCUGGCCCUGCGAGGGCCGUCUGGUUUAGGGAACUUCCCCACAAUUUCGCUUGCGUGCUUUCUUCAAGGCUGGAUAAGGGUCCAUUCCACACGCUAGAGUUCUGAUGUUGGCUGUGUAAAUACCAACAACGUUGAGAAAGGGAAAAUGUGACAAAUUUAGCGAUCUAGCCAGGUCGGAGGGUCCCUAGGCGCUUUCGUAGGUAGUGGUUGCGCAACAUUAGGGACUCCUGACAAAAAUCAACCGUGACUGUUUUCCUUGUUCCCUCUCGCAGUCUCCUCUCUCACGUUGUUAUUGUCAUUAUCGUUAAUUGACGAGAAAAUAAACAGCAAUAACCCGCCGCUGCCCCAAUAGCGUAGGCGGAGCAUUGAUAGUUUAGAGAACGCGGGGAAGUGGCGGACUUCUAACAUGAGCCAU
Molecule: small RNA, 432 nt
Filed under: Histoplasma capsulatum var. duboisii H88
Lineage: Eukaryota; Fungi; Ascomycota; Eurotiomycetes; Onygenales; Ajellomycetaceae
Description: Histoplasma capsulatum H88 hypothetical RNA
Source: RNAcentral